AGAGUUUGAUCCUGGCUCAGAUUGAACGCUGGCGGCAUGCCUUACACAUGCAAGUCGAACGGUAACAGGUUAAGCUGACGAGUGGCGAACGGGUGAGUAAUGUAUCGGAACGUGCCCAGUCGUGGGGGAUAACUACUCGAAAGAGUGGCUAAUACCGCAUGAGACCUGAGGGUGAAAGCGGGGGAUCGCAAGACCUCGCGCGAUUGGAGCGGCCGAUAUCAGAUUAGCUAGUUGGCGGGGUAAAAGCCCACCAAGGCGACGAUCUGUAGCUGGUCUGAGAGGACGACCAGCCACACUGGGACUGAGACACGGCCCAGACUCCUACGGGAGGCAGCAGUGGGGAAUUUUGGACAAUGGACGAAAGUCUGAUCCAGCCAUGCCGCGUGCGGGAAGAAGGCCUUCGGGUUGUAAACCGCUUUUGUCAGGGAAGAAACGACGUCCUCUAAUACAGGGUGUUAAUGACGGUACCUGAAGAAUAAGCACCGGCUAACUACGUGCCAGCAGCCGCGGUAAUACGUAGGGUGCAAGCGUUAAUCGGAAUUACUGGGCGUAAAGCGUGCGCAGGCGGUUAUGCAAGACAGAUGUGAAAUCCCCGGGCUCAACCUGGGAACUGCAUUUGUGACUGCAUGGCUAGAGUACGGUAGAGGGGGAUGGAAUUCCGCGUGUAGCAGUGAAAUGCGUAGAUAUGCGGAGGAACACCGAUGGCGAAGGCAAUCCCCUGGACCUGUACUGACGCUCAUGCACGAAAGCGUGGGGAGCAAACAGGAUUAGAUACCCUGGUAGUCCACGCCCUAAACGAUGUCAACUGGUUGUUGGGAGGGUUUCUUCUCAGUAACGUAGCUAACGCGUGAAGUUGACCGCCUGGGGAGUACGGCCGCAAGGUUGAAACCCAAAGGAAUUGACGGGGACCCGCACAAGCGGUGGAUGAUGUGGUUUAAUUCGAUGCAACGCGAAAAACCUUACCUACCCUUGACAUGUCUGGAAUCCUGAAGAGAUUUGGGAGUGCUCGAAAGAGAGCCCGAACACAGGUGCUGCAUGGCCGUCGUCAGCUCGUGUCGUGAGAUGUUGGGUUUAGUCCCGCAACGAGCGCAACCCUUGUCAUUAGUUGCUACGAAAGGGCACUCUAAUGAGACUGCCGGUGACAAACCGGAGGAAGGUGGGGAUGACGUCAGGUCAUCAUGGCCCUUAUGGGUAGGGCUACACACGUCAUACAAUGGCCGGUACAGAGGGCUGCCAACCCGCGAGGGGGAGCCAAUCCCAGAAAACCGGUCGUAGUCCGGAUCGUAGUCUGCAACUCGACUGCGUGAAGUCGGAAUCGCUAGUAAUCGCGGAUCAGCUUGCCGCGGUGAAUACGUUCCCGGGUCUUGUACACACCGCCCGUCACACCAUGGGAGCGGGUUCUGCCAGAAGUAGUUAGCCUAACCGCAAGGGGGGCGAUUACCACGGCAGGGUUCGUGACUGGGGUGAAGUCGUAACAAGGUA
Molecule: ribosomal RNA, 1482 nt
Filed under: metagenome
Description: bacterial SSU rRNA
Rfam family: Bacterial small subunit ribosomal RNA
Source: RNAcentral